This 651-nucleotide ribosomal RNA is filed under the name uncultured bacterium. RNAcentral's name for it is "bacterial SSU rRNA". It matches the Rfam family "Bacterial small subunit ribosomal RNA", at positions 28 to 694 of the family's 1533-position model. The record is from RNAcentral.
GACGAACGCUGGCGGCGCGCCUAACACAUGCAAGUCGAACGAAGCUUUGGAGCUUGCUCCAAAUGACUGAGUGGCGGACGGGUGAGUAACGCGUGAGUAACCUGCCUUUUUGAGGGGGAUAACGUUUGGAAACGAACGCUAAUACCGCAUAAAGUACCGAGACCGCAUGGUCAUGGUACCAAAGGAGUAAUCCGCAGAAAGAUGGACUCGCGUCCAAUUAGCUAGUUGGUGGGGUAACAGCCUACCAAGGCGACGAUUGGUAGCCGGACUGAGAGGUUGAACGGCCACAUUGGGACUGAGACACGGCCCAGACUCCUACGGGAGGCAGCAGUGGGGAAUAUUGCACAAUGGAGGAAACUCCGAUGCAGCGACGCCGCGUGAGGGAAGAAGGUUUUCGGAUUGUAAACCUCUGUCCUUGGUGAAGAUAAUGACGGUAGCCAAGGAGGAAGCCACGGCUAACUACGUGCCAGCAGCCGCGGUAAUACGUAGGUGGCAAGCGUUGUCCGGAAUUACUGGGUGUAAAGGGAGCGUANGCGGGACGAUAAGUUGAAUGUUAAAUCUAUGGGCUCAACCCAUAGCAGCGUUCAAAACUGUCGUUCUUGAGUGAAGUANAGGCAGGCGGAAUUCCUAGUGUACGGUGAAAUGCGUAAA